Long non-coding RNA from Oreochromis aureus, 1191 nucleotides. The record is from Ensembl. Lineage: Eukaryota; Metazoa; Chordata; Actinopteri; Cichliformes; Cichlidae.
GUAGCUUGGAAAAAUUUAAUCGUUUGUCACUGUCUAUAACAGGGGUAAGCAACUCCAGGCCUUAAGUACCAGUGUCCUACAGGUUUUAGAUGUAUCCUUGAUCCCACACAGCUGAUUCAAAUCGCUAAAUGACCUUGUCAACAUGUCUUGAAGCUCUCGAGAGGCCUGGUAGUGAAGUUAUCAUUUGAUUCAGGUGUGUUGACCCAGGGUGAUAGCUAAAACCUAGGACACUGGCACUUGAGGCCUGGAGUUGCCUACCCCUGAUCUAUAAGAUAGUAUAUGAUUGCUAUUUUCAAUUCAGUGUCUCCUCUGCUGUGGAAACAGACUUGCUCUGUUUAGACAGGGGGACAAUGAUGGAGAUUCGUUUAUAGAGAUACGCUGCCGAAGACCUGAAAAGUAUGAAGAGUUUCGGCAGAUGUGGGAUCUGAUCUUGGCAGUGAUGUCCAAGCUGUUUGGGCUGUCAAGGCAGUGGCCGGGACUGACCCAGCAGGUGCACACACCCUGUCCAGAGAGAGGCUGUCUGCAUUAUUUUACCUGGAGGGACUGGCAGGAAUUGAACAACACCAACCUUUACAGUCUUGUGAAGGAGGAAAAAUUAGUUUGCCAGGGAGGCCAUACACGACGAACAGAACUGAUUUUUCCAAAAGCUGCCACUUUGCAGUGAUGACUAUGAAAAUGACGUCAAAGAAGACAAACACAGCAUCACAACCUCUUCAGCAAUUUUAAAGUGGCAAAAUGUUUUUUGUGCUAGUCAAUUUUAUCUCCUUUUUUAGGUGACUGAUAUGAGUAUUAUUUGGAAACUAUUUUGUGGCAAGUGUCACUCUGAGUAUGAGGUUCAGGGCUGAGGCUGAUUUUGUAACAGCUGUUUUGCAAUAGAUGUAUUACAAAAUACUCCAGAAGACUACUUGCAUUUCUGUUUUUAAUAUGCAGCGUUUCGGUGUUUAUGUGUACAAUGGCAGCCUCUGCUGGCCCUUGACGACUGUCGUCUAUGUUUGUCUUUGUGAAGACAAGUUGUACACCUUACAGUGUUACAUGACAAAUUACAACUGCUGCAUGUAAAAUAUUUAAGCUGAUCUUUAAUAAUAUGAUAGUCCAAAUCAAUCCGGUCCUGUAAAAACUCCUGAUAUCUGCUUGCCACCCCUGUAUUUCUCUAGUUUUUCAUCAGGUUCUCAAAACUCACUUCUAGUGCUG